AUUGAACGCUGGCGGCAUGCCUAACACAUGCAAGUCGAGCGGAUGACGGCUGCUUGCUCCUGGAUUCAGCGGCUGACUGGUGAGUAAUUCCUUGGAAUCUGCCUGGUAUUGGUGGUUAUCGUCCGUAAAAGUGCGCUACUACCGCUUAUGUCCUGUGGGAGAUAGUGUGGGAUCCUCGGACCUCACGCUAUCAGAUGAGCCUUGGUCGGAUUAGCUAGUUGGUGGGGUAAAGGCCUACCAAGGCGACGAUCCGUAACUGAUCUGAGAGGAUGAUCAGUCACACUGGAACUGAGACACGGUCCAGACUCCUACGGGAGGCAGCAGUAGGGAAUAUUGCGCAAUGGGCGAAAGCCUGAUGGAGCAAUGCCGCGUGAGUGAAGAAGGUCUUCGGAUUGUAAAGCACUGUAAGUUGGGAGGAAGAGCAGAAAGAGAAACCGUUACGGGUGUGACGUUACCAACAGAAAAAGCAACGGCUAACUUCGUG
Molecule: ribosomal RNA, 484 nt
Filed under: uncultured bacterium
Lineage: Bacteria
Description: partial 16S ribosomal RNA
Rfam family: Bacterial small subunit ribosomal RNA
Source: RNAcentral